GGGGACGACUGGUAAAUCCUCUCUGUGCACCCAGACUGGGUCUUGCGCUGAAAAACAUCAAAAUCUGAAUUAUACAGAGGCUAUGCAGCACUAUGGUACUAUUUGGGACUUGGUGGAGCAAACCACUGGGAGCUUUGCUCAGCUGUAUCUAGGGAUUUUCCCGUAACCAAAUUGCUGAAG
Molecule: long non-coding RNA, 180 nt
Filed under: Serinus canaria (Common canary)
Lineage: Eukaryota; Metazoa; Chordata; Aves; Passeriformes; Fringillidae
Description: lncRNA (ENSSCAG00000004786.1)
Source: RNAcentral